UACGUAGGGUGCGAGCGUUAAUCGAAAUUACUGGGCGUAAAGCGUGCGCAGGCGGUUCGUUAAGUUCGUUGUGAAAGCCCCGGGCUCAACCUGGGAACUGCAAUGGAAACUGGCGGGCUUGAGUGUGGCAGAGGGGGGUGGAAUUCCGCGUGUAGCAGUGAAAUGCGUAGAGAUGCGGAGGAACACCGAUGGCGAAGGCAGCCCCCUGGGCCAACACUGACGCUCAGGCACGAAAGCGUGGGGAGCAAACAGG
Molecule: ribosomal RNA, 253 nt
Filed under: uncultured bacterium
Lineage: Bacteria
Description: partial 16S ribosomal RNA
Rfam family: Bacterial small subunit ribosomal RNA
Source: RNAcentral